Molecule: ribosomal RNA, 492 nt
Filed under: uncultured bacterium
Lineage: Bacteria
Description: partial 16S ribosomal RNA
Rfam family: Bacterial small subunit ribosomal RNA
Source: RNAcentral
AGUGAACGCUGGCGGUAGGCCUAACACAUGCAAGUCGAACGGCAGCACAGUAAGAGCUUGCUCUUACGGGUGGCGAGUUGCGGACGGGUGAGGAAUACAUCGGAAUCUACUUUUUCGUGGGUGAUAACGUAGGGAAACUUACGCUAAUACCGCAUACGACCUACGGGUGAAAGCAGGGGAUCUUCGGACCUUGCGCGAAUGAAUGAGCCGAUGUCGGAUUAGCUAGUUGGCGGGGUAAAGGCCCACCAAGGCGACGAUCCGUAGCUGGUCUGAGAGGAUGAUCAGCCACACUGGAACUGAGACACGGUCCAGACUCCUACGGGAGGCAGCAGUGGGGAAUAUUGGACAAUGGGCGCAAGCCUGAUCCAGCCAUACCGCGUGGGUGAAGAAGGCCUUCGGGUUGUAAAGCCCUUUUGUUGGGAAAGAAAAGCAGCAGGUUAAUACCCCGCUGUUCUGACGGUACCAAAAGAAUAAGCACCGGCUAACUUCGUG